ACUCCUACGGGAGGCAGCAGUGGGGAAUAUUGCACAAUGGGGGAAACCCUGAUGCAGCAACGCCGCGUGAGUGAUGACGGUCUUCGGAUUGUAAAGCUCUGUCUUCUGGGACGAUAAUGACGGUACCAGAGGAGGAAGCCACGGCUAACUACGUGCCAGCAGCCGCGGUAAUACGUAGGUGGCGAGCGUUAUCCGGAUUUACUGGGCGUAAAGGGAGCGUAGGCGGAUAAUUAAGUGAGAUGUGAAAUCCCCGGGCUUAACUUGGGGGCUGCAUUUCAAACUGGAUGUCUAGAGUGCAGGAGAGGAAAGCAGAAUUCCUAGUGUAGCGGUGAAAUGCGUAGAGAUUAGGAAGAAUACCAGUGGCGAAGGCGGCUUUCUGGACUGUAACUGACGCUGAGGCAUGAAAGCGUGGGGAGCAAACAGGAUUAGAUACCCUGGUAGUC
Molecule: ribosomal RNA, 443 nt
Filed under: uncultured bacterium
Lineage: Bacteria
Description: bacterial SSU rRNA
Rfam family: Bacterial small subunit ribosomal RNA
Source: RNAcentral